This 427-nucleotide ribosomal RNA is filed under the name uncultured Acidobacterium sp. RNAcentral describes it as "bacterial SSU rRNA". It matches the Rfam family "Bacterial small subunit ribosomal RNA", at positions 958 to 1385 of the family's 1533-position model. Lineage: Bacteria; Pseudomonadati; Acidobacteriota; Terriglobia; Terriglobales; Acidobacteriaceae. The record is from RNAcentral.
AACGCGAAGAACCUUACCUGGGCUCGAAAUGUAGUGGACCGGGGUAGAAAUAUCCCUUCCUAGCAAUAGGCUGCUAUAUAGGUGCUGCAUGGCUGUCGUCAGCUCGUGUCGUGAGAUGUUGGGUUAAGUCCCGCAACGAGCGCAACCCUUAUUACCAGUUGCUACCAUUUAGUUGAGCACUCUGGUGAGACCGCCUCGGAUAACGGGGAGGAAGGCGGGGAUGACGUCAAGUCCUCAUGGCCUUUAUGUCCAGGGCUACACACGUGCUACAAUGGCCGGUACAAACCGUCGCAAACCCGUGAGGGGGAGCUAAUCGGAAAAAGCCGGCCUCAGUUCGGAUUGGAGUCUGCAACUCGACUCCAUGAAGCUGGAAUCGCUAGUAAUCGCAGAUCAGAACGCUGCGGUGAAUACGUUCCCGGGCCUUGUA